GGAUGUGAGGGCGAUCUGGCUGCGACAUCUGUCACCCCAUUGAUCACCAGGGUUGAUUCGGCUAAUCUGGCUGGCUAGGCGGGUGUCCCCUUCCUCCCUCACCGCUCCAUGUGCGUCCCUCCCGAAGCUGCUUGCUCGGUGGAAGAGGACCACCAUCCCAGAUAGAAGGAGUGUACCGUUCUUCGGUCAAGGGUAUACGAUAGCUGCGCUCCCCUGCUAGAACCUCCAAACAAAAAGCAAAGGUGUGUGGGUCCAACCCAGCUGCAUUGUUUUUAAAAUACUAAGUUGUGGCACAAUGUCUUGCCACAACU
Podarcis lilfordi (Lilford's wall lizard) is the source of this 311-nucleotide non-coding RNA. Lineage: Eukaryota; Metazoa; Chordata; Lepidosauria; Squamata; Lacertidae. The record is from the annotation of a GenBank genome assembly.